AGUCGAGCGGAACGAGUUAUCUGAACCUUCGGGGAACGAUAACGGCGUCGAGCGGCGGACGGGUGAGUAAUGCCUAGGAAAUUGCCCUGAUGUGGGGGAUAACCAUUGGAAACGAUGGCUAAUACCGCAUGAUGCCUACGGGCCAAAGAGGGGGACCUUCGGGCCUCUCGCGUCAGGAUAUGCCUAGGUGGGAUUAGCUAGUUGGUGAGGUAAGGGCUCACCAAGGCGACGAUCCCUAGCUGGUCUGAGAGGAUGAUCAGCCACACUGGAACUGAGACACGGUCCAGACUCCUACGGGAGGCAGCAGUGGGGAAUAUUGCACAAUGGGCGCAAGCCUGAUGCAGCCAUGCCGCGUGUGUGAAGAAGGCCUUCGGGUUGUAAAGCACUUUCAGUCGUGAGGAAGGYGGYGUCGUUAAUAGCGGCRUCRUUUGACGUUAGCGACAGAAGAAGCACCGGCUAACUCCGUGCCAGCAGCCGCGGUAAUACGGAGGGUGCGAGCGUUAAUCGGAAUUACUGGGCGUAAAGCGCAUGCAGGUGGUUUGUUAAGUCAGAUGUGAAAGCCCGGGGCUCAACCUCGGAAUAGCAUUUGAAACUGGCAGACUAGAGUACUGUAGAGGGGGGUAGAAUUUCAGGUGUAGCGGUGAAAUGCGUAGAGAUCUGAAGGAAUACCGGUGGCGAAGGCGGCCCCCUGGACAGAUACUGACACUCAGAUGCGAAAGCGUGGGAGCAAACAGGAUUAGAUACCCUGGUAGUCCACGCCGUAAACGAUGUCUACUUGGAGGUUGUGGCCUUGAGCCGUGGCUUUCGGAGCUAACGCGUUAAGUAGACCGCCUGGGGAGUACGGUCGCAAGAUUAAAACUCAAAUGAAUUGACGGGGGCCCGCACAAGCGGUGGAGCAUGUGGUUUAAUUCGAUGCAACGCGAAGAACCUUACCUACUCUUGACAUCCAGAGAACUUUCCAGAGAUGGAUUGGUGCCUUCGGGAACUCUGAGACAGGUGCUGCAUGGCUGUCGUCAGCUCGUGUUGUGAAAUGUUGGGUUAAGUCCCGCAACGAGCGCAACCCUUAUCCUUGUUUGCCAGCGAGUAAUGUCGGGAACUCCAGGGAGACUGCCGGUGAUAAACCGGAGGAAGGU
This 1133-nucleotide ribosomal RNA is filed under the name Vibrio sp. H1G. RNAcentral describes it as "bacterial SSU rRNA". It matches the Rfam family "Bacterial small subunit ribosomal RNA", at positions 60 to 1174 of the family's 1533-position model. The record is from RNAcentral. Lineage: Bacteria; Pseudomonadati; Pseudomonadota; Gammaproteobacteria; Vibrionales; Vibrionaceae.